GACGAACGCUGGCGGCGUGCCUAAUACAUGCAAGUAGAACGCUGAAGGAGGAGCUUGCUUCUCUGGAUGAGUUGCGAACGGGUGAGUAACGCGUAGGUAACCUGCCUGGUAGCGGGGGAUAACUAUUGGAAACGAUAGCUAAUACCGCAUAAGAGUAGAUGUUGCAUGACAUUUGCUUAAAAGGUGCAAUUGCAUCACUACCAGAUGGACCUGCGUUGUAUUAGCUAGUUGGUGGGGUAACGGCUCACCAAGGCGACGAUACAUAGCCGACCUGAGGGGGUGAUCGGCCACACUGGGACUGAGACACGGCCCAGACUCCUACGGGAGGCAGCAGUAGGGAAUCUUCGGCAAUGGACGGAAGUCUGACCGAGCAACGCCGCGUGAGGGAAGAAGGUUUUCGGAUCGUAAAGCUCUGUUGUAAGAGAAGAACGAGUGUGAGAGUGGAAAGUUCACACUGUGACGGUAUCUUACCAGAAAGGGACGGCUAACUACGUG
RNAcentral lists this ribosomal RNA (495 nucleotides) under uncultured bacterium. Its description in RNAcentral is "partial 16S ribosomal RNA". It matches the Rfam family "Bacterial small subunit ribosomal RNA", at positions 28 to 507 of the family's 1533-position model. The record is from RNAcentral.